This 1173-nucleotide long non-coding RNA is filed under the name Anas zonorhyncha (Eastern spot-billed duck). RNAcentral's name for it is "lncRNA (ENSAZOG00000007033.1)". The record is from RNAcentral. Lineage: Eukaryota; Metazoa; Chordata; Aves; Anseriformes; Anatidae.
AUGGAGGGGCUCCGGGGGGGUGAGAGGUUAUGGAGUGGGCGUGCGGCUCAGGAGAGCUACGGGGAGCAGGGAGCUGUGUGUGCACCCUGGGGCUGGAGGUGGUGGGCAGGGAGCACCCCACACCGCUGCCCGCCUGUGCGCUGUCUGCAGGGACCCGUGUGGAGGUGGGGGCUCUGCGGGGAGGCUGGGGGCUGCGUGCACUGGGGAGGGGGAGAUGGAGCAGGGGGUGGUGUGGGGUGGUGCAGGCAGCUGUGCCGGGCUGGGAGCGGUGUGUUGGGGGGCUGCUGUCUGCGGGUGAGAAGUACAUGGGGUUGGGCGCUGGGGUCUGCGUGGGGGAGCCAGCUCUGCAAGGGCACAGAACAGCGGAGGGCGUGUGGGGCCCCCCCGGUCUCCAGGGUGCCAUCGCAGCCAUGGCUUGGGGUAUGUUGUUUCCUGAUCCCAGUUCCCAAAGCCAGGUCAGGAGCCUGGCUGUGCUACAGGGGGUGGAGGCUGCCCAGACUGCGGGGUCGGUGGGGCUGUGCAGGGCAGGGGUUGCCCGGGGACGCUGCAGCCUCCCAGGGCUGCUCUGCCAGCUGCAGUGACGCUGGGUGCAUCUGGGUGCUUAUGGGGACAGGGCACGGUUCCCAAAGGACACCUCUCACCCUUUUCCCCGGUCUGCCCCUUGCCCUGUUGUGCCAGCUGCCAGCAGAACCAGUCCAGGUCAACACCACUGAAGGAAUCAGCUCCUGGGAAGUUUCUGUUCCCAGCGUGAGAUGCAGAGCGUUUCCUCUCCCCACCCCACCCUGCACGGGGACUUUACUCCUUUGCUUUCUGCUGUGCCCGCAGAAGCCUCUGGCAGAGGGCAGUGGGACACGGCCUGGGGGGGCUGGGGCUGCUCUCCCCUGUGAGGGCAGAGCCCAGGGGACAGUGCACAGGCAAUGUGCGUGCCCCUGCCCCAUGCACCAGCACGUCCAGCCCCGGCACCUUUGCUUGGCUCCAAGCCAGGGCCCCCGCUGGGGAGUGCAGGCAAGGCUGAGCCCCCGGAGUCCCCCAGCUGUGUGCUGUGUGUUUGGGACCCCCAGCUCGCCAAGCACACAGGAUGCUGGGUGCCCUGCAGCCGGUCACAGUGGGCACGUGCCAACCUCUGCUGGGUUCGUGGGGCUGGAGUUUGAACUCCCAGUGCACACCAAGUAA